GGAUCUUUGUUUCUGGGUAAGGGGUGAAAGUAAGGAGAAACUGACAGAAGAGAGUGAGCACUUAGAGACCAUUAUGUUAUAUGAAUCUAUACCAUUGUUUUUAGGUGCUCACUUCUCUUUCUGUCGGCUUCUCAUCCUUCUUCUUCUUCUUCUUCUUCUUGUUUUAGAUUU
Molecule: microRNA precursor, 171 nt
Filed under: Linum usitatissimum (flax)
Lineage: Eukaryota; Viridiplantae; Streptophyta; Magnoliopsida; Malpighiales; Linaceae
Description: miR156g stem-loop (lus-MIR156g)
Gene: lus-MIR156g
Source: miRBase by way of RNAcentral